RNAcentral lists this ribosomal RNA (301 nucleotides) under uncultured bacterium. RNAcentral's name for it is "partial 16S ribosomal RNA". It matches the Rfam family "Bacterial small subunit ribosomal RNA", at positions 509 to 807 of the family's 1533-position model. The record is from RNAcentral.
CAGUAGCCGCGGUAAAACGUAGGUGGCAAGCGUUGUCCAGAAUUAUUGGGCGUAAAGGGCUCGCAGGCGGUUUCUUAAGUCUGAUGUGAAAGCCCCCGGCUCAACCGGGGAGGGUCAUUGGAAACUGGGAAACUUGAGUGCAGAAGAGGAGAGUGGAAUUCCACGUGUAGCGGUGAAAUGCGUAGAGAUGUGGAGGAACACCAGUGGCGAAGGCGACUCUCUGGUCUGUAACUGACGCUGAGGAGCGAAAGCGUGGGGAGCGAACAGGAUUAGAUACCCCGGUAGUCCCUGUCUCUUAUAC